UCUCCUAUGUUUUAUUAUGGCUAAAACCCUUAUUCCGUCCACUCCUCCUAUAAUAACCAAACCCUAAUACGCUUUCAUACAGAAAAAAACAGACCCUUUUUUCACGAAUAGAUGGUGAUUUGAAGUUUUAGAGCUUUCCUAUAUAUAUAGGUUCAAACUGAAAAAUGCCAAUCGUGUUUGAAAAUCUUUGCCUAACUUUGACAACAAGACAUCCACCACAUUCCAGUUCAUGGCUUCAAAUCACUUGCCUUGUGUUCCUCUGAUCUUUUGACGCGAUGGCCCGGAUUGUUCCCAUCCCAAGUGUGGCAUUUGAGUUGGGAAUGGAACAAUCAAGUCGACUUCGAUGAGCAUUCCCAUGGUAACCCUAAUACCAUACCAGGGACUAUGGGAUCAGUUUCUCCUACUGCCUUCCACCACAAUUUGAGGCGCAAACGUAUUUGCUACAUUUUGGAAACAAUAUAUGUAGAUGGUAAGUUGGACGUAAAGAGAGGUAAUAUGAGUUUGAACAAAAUUUAAGAAUCAAACUUUGUAAUCAAUUUUUCUUCUUCUUCUUCGUCCUUUGAUUUGCUAACAUGUUCUUGUCAUAUCGUAUAUUUAGUAGAAGUGGUAUUUUUAUCA
Malus domestica (apple) is the source of this 618-nucleotide long non-coding RNA. RefSeq lists it as uncharacterized. NCBI's taxonomy places the organism in Eukaryota, Viridiplantae, Streptophyta, Magnoliopsida, Rosales, Rosaceae. The record is from RefSeq and is a predicted model, not a curated record.